Molecule: ribosomal RNA, 700 nt
Filed under: Pseudomonas sp.
Lineage: Bacteria; Pseudomonadati; Pseudomonadota; Gammaproteobacteria; Pseudomonadales; Pseudomonadaceae
Description: bacterial SSU rRNA
Rfam family: Bacterial small subunit ribosomal RNA
Source: RNAcentral
CAGGCCUAACACAUGCAAGUCGAGCGGUAGAGAGAAGCUUGCUUCUCUUGAGAGCGGCGGACGGGUGAGUAAUGCCUAGGAAUCUGCCUGGUAGUGGGGGAUAACGUUCGGAAACGGACGCUAAUACCGCAUACGUCCUACGGGAGAAAGCAGGGGACCUUCGGGCCUUGCGCUAUCAGAUGAGCCUAGGUCGGAUUAGCUAGUUGGUGAGGUAAUGGCUCACCAAGGCGACGAUCCGUAACUGGUCUGAGAGGAUGAUCAGUCACACUGGAACUGAGACACGGUCCAGACUCCUACGGGAGGCAGCAGUGGGGAAUAUUGGACAAUGGGCGAAAGCCUGAUCCAGCCAUGCCGCGUGUGUGAAGAAGGUCUUCGGAUUGUAAAGCACUUUAAGUUGGGAGGAAGGGCAGUUACCUAAUACGUGAUUGUUUUGACGUUACCGACAGAAUAAGCACCGGCUAACUCUGUGCCAGCAGCCGCGGUAAUACAGAGGGUGCAAGCGUUAAUCGGAAUUACUGGGCGUAAAGCGCGCGUAGGUGGUUAGUUAAGUUGGAUGUGAAAUCCCCGGGCUCAACCUGGGAACUGCAUUCAAAACUGACUGACUAGAGUAUGGUAGAGGGUGGUGGAAUUUCCUGUGUAGCGGUGAAAUGCGUAGAUAUAGGAAGGAACACCAGUGGCGAAGGCGACCACCUGGACUGAU